Molecule: small nucleolar RNA, 105 nt
Organism: Cavia porcellus (domestic guinea pig)
Lineage: Eukaryota; Metazoa; Chordata; Mammalia; Rodentia; Caviidae
Rfam family: Small nucleolar RNA U13
Source: Rfam
AGCAAACUUCAAUUCGUGAACGUAAUCACUGGGUGUUUGUGCCAUGUGCGUCCAAUGUGCUUCCUUCAAAUCCUGCUACAACACUGGUACCUUCCCUGUCUGACA